Cheilinus undulatus (humphead wrasse) is the source of this 1236-nucleotide long non-coding RNA. RefSeq lists it as uncharacterized. The record is from RefSeq and is a predicted model, not a curated record. NCBI's taxonomy places the organism in Eukaryota, Metazoa, Chordata, Actinopteri, Labriformes, Labridae. The transcript has 6 exons.
AGGAGUAUAAGUAGGCUUUCCACACCUGGCCACAAUCAGGAGCCAUCAGCUCACACACACCUGGCACUGCACUGAUUGAUCACACUCAGUGAGGACCCUGUGUGAUCUCCCUCACACUCAUCCUCAUUACGUCUUUUCACCCUCGUGUUACUGCAGCCCAACACCCAUGGCUUUUGUCUUAUCUCACCUGGGUCUGACUACGCCCACCUGCCCAGAGAAUUUGGUUUUUCUCCUCUACUUUGUCUGUACCAGGCUUCCAAUAAUUUUCCUUUUUUCUGUUUUUUUCAUUCUUGCCUGCUGCCCAUGGACAAAUACCAUGAUGUCUUAUUAUUCAUGCCUCCAUACUGAGGAUAGCCAGCUAUCAGACAUUGUCCUCAAACAUCACAAGUUGGGAACCUCAUUGUGGUGCUAAAGAAAAGACGGGACUGUCACCUUCAGCAUCUCUAGGGGACCGUUAAUGUUCUAAAAAUAACUGCUCGUUUCACCAGGUCUUCACAGAGACACAGCUCCGUCACCACCCAGUACUGCACCUCGUUGAAGCGACGCACAAACCGCUCCAGGUUAGCUGUGAUGGCACCGGGGAAUUUGUGACGCCCGAAUACGUAAUAGAUCAGCUCCACCUGGAGGGGAAGGAACAAAAAUUCCAGCUCUGCAAAUCAAGCCUGAAUCCUCACCUCUAAAAAGUCCACCACGAUAGGGUCUUCUUUCAGUAGAAGGCCAUACAGCGCCACCAGCUGGCCAAUCAGCCUCACUACCUUCUGCUUCGUGCUGAUAAUGUAGGAGGAUUUCUCCUGAUCUGAACCCUCGGAGAGCUCUGCCUGGAUAUUGGUGCUGCAGUGCGGGACACAGCUGACUGGAGGGCAUGAAGACUUUGUGGGCGAGACAUUUCUCUGUUUCUUGCAUUCUCGCUGACUUCAGUGGGCUGAGCUGUGUGAGAAGCAGCCUCAGAUGAACACUGUGAGAGUUUGACGAGGAGCUUGGGGUGGAAUACAGAUACCUGACUUUUCCCCUCGCUCUGCGUGAGAAAAAUACAGGACUGCACUUCUGUGGGCAACAUUCCCAUCCUGAAACCCAUGACUGAUAAGGGUAAUAUGUUUUUCCAGGCCUUAGAUUAGGCCAUUAAGAUGUCAGACUUUUGUUACACUAAUGAAAAAUGAUUUUCUUAAUGAGACUAGAGGCUAUUGAAUGCAUGAUUAAGUUUCAUUAAUUUUACUUUAGGAUGCAAAUUCUCAGAGA